GAUGAACGCUGGCGGCGUGCCUAAUACAUGCAAGUCGAGCGAACAGACGAGGAGCUUGCUCCUCUGACGUUAGCGGCGGACGGGUGAGUAACACGUGGAUAACCUACCUAUAAGACUGGGAUAACUUCGGGAAACCGGAGCUAAUACCGGAUAAUAUAUUGAACAGCAUGGGUCAAUAGUGAAAGACGGUUUUGCUGUCACUUAUAGAUGGAUCCGCGCCGCAUUAGCUAGUUGGUAAGGUAACGGCUUACCAAGGCGACGAUGCGUAGCCGACCUGAGAGGGUGAUCGGCCACACUGGAACUGAGACACGGUCCAGACUCCUACGGGAGGCAGCAGUAGGGAAUCUUCCGCAAUGGGCGAAAGCCUGACGGAGCAACGCCGCGUGAGUGAUGAAGGUCUUCGGAUCGUAAAUCUCUGUUAUUAGGGAAGAACAAAUGUGUAAGUAACUAUGCACGUCUUGACGGUACCUAAUCAGAAAGCCACGGCUAACUACGUG
RNAcentral lists this ribosomal RNA (497 nucleotides) under uncultured bacterium. RNAcentral's name for it is "partial 16S ribosomal RNA". It matches the Rfam family "Bacterial small subunit ribosomal RNA", at positions 28 to 507 of the family's 1533-position model. The record is from RNAcentral.